RNAcentral lists this ribosomal RNA (253 nucleotides) under uncultured bacterium. RNAcentral describes it as "partial 16S ribosomal RNA". It matches the Rfam family "Bacterial small subunit ribosomal RNA", at positions 524 to 776 of the family's 1533-position model. The record is from RNAcentral.
GACGUAGGGCGCAAGCGUUGUCCGGAUUUAUUGGGCGUAAAGAGCUCGUAGGCGGCCUGUCGCGUCGACUGUGAAAACCCGCAGCUUAACUGCGGGACUGCAGUCGAUACGGGCAGGCUAGAGUUCGGUAGGGGAGACUGGAAUUCCUGGUGUAGCGGUGAAAUGCGCAGAUAUCAGGAGGAACACCGGUGGCGAAGGCGGCUCACUGGUCCGAUACUGACGCUGAGGUGCGAAAGCGUGGGGAGCAAACAGG